Long non-coding RNA from Myotis lucifugus (little brown bat), 524 nucleotides. RefSeq lists it as uncharacterized. The transcript has 2 exons. The record is from RefSeq and is a predicted model, not a curated record. NCBI's taxonomy places the organism in Eukaryota, Metazoa, Chordata, Mammalia, Chiroptera, Vespertilionidae.
AGAUCCAUCUGAAGAGUGUUCUGGUUUUCCAAAAGAAGGAAAAUUUAAAUUGGCUGAAGACCUUGCUCAUCAAAUCCCUCCUAAGACGGAGGCAAAUGAGGCUCGAAGAAGUGAAGGCAUUUGCCCUAAAUCACACAGACUGUUCUUAAGUGGCCAAGUCAGAUCUGCCUCCAAGUUCGUCCCCCUCCACUCGGCCGCAGCUCCCUCCUGUUAAUGGACUCGACGUGCAGAGUGUUUUUGCAUCGUAAAGUAUGAGAAGCUCCAUAAAUAUAAAAUGUUUGUAGUCCCAGACGUGCCAGCUCAGAUCCCACUUAAAUUGACUCUGGGUAGCUCUUCCCUCAGCCCCGAUCCUCAUAAGCUCCAAUAUAUAUUUCCUUAGUCCCCUGGGGUUUUCCAUUCUGUGCCCCAACAAUCCCCAGCCUUUCAUUAGUGAUGCCUAGGUGUCUCCACAUGGUUCAAGGGGUGCCAGAAAGUCUCCAGACAAAAUAAAAUGCGCCAUAAAACACCAAGGGCAUAAAACUCUA